Molecule: ribosomal RNA, 192 nt
Filed under: Triticum aestivum (bread wheat)
Lineage: Eukaryota; Viridiplantae; Streptophyta; Magnoliopsida; Poales; Poaceae
Description: partial small subunit ribosomal RNA
Source: RNAcentral
CUAAGCUGGAACUGCCGGGGGCUCAGGCAACCCCGGACAGUUCAAGAGUUAGUAUGCCUUGUGCAUACAUACCAGCCCAAGAUCAUCUUCAUCACUGAAACUAGGCAAUGUGAGAAUAAAGUAAAAGCACUAAAGUGGCGGUUAGGCUUGAGGCACUGUUUGACACAUGAUGGGAAGGGUAAAGGUCACUAG